ACUGGAGAAAAGCGACACGCAAGAAGUGUAUAAGAAAAGCUGCAUGGAAAAAAUAAAAACCCUGGUAAAACGACACGCCUGGGUCUGUGACGUGAUAUCCGUGGAACGGGCUGUGGAUACUUUGGCGACACAAGGAGGUGGUCAUUUGGGCUUUGCAACAUUUGAUUUCAACAAUGUAAAAAAAUUGAGAGGUAAUCAGGUGACCACUGAUCAGCCUCCACGGAUGAAGCGCUAGCUGUUCCAAGUUGGGACCCAGGAUGGACCACUCCUCUUUGCAUCAGUUGGUGACCUCUCUGCGUUGCUGGCUUGUCUCCAUUCAAGAUGAUCCCCUGCUGGCCUCCCAAUGGACUGGAUUUUCACAUUAAGUCGGGACCAGGGGUGACCACUCCUUAUGCAUCAGUUGGUGAUGUUUCAGCACCCCGACGUGUCUACAUCUGACGGUGAGGGCCAGGAGCAAGAUUUCUCCCACUAAUGUGAACGGAUCACUGUCCUCUCCCCUCAAGGACAUCUCCUUAGUUGAUCAGUCCGCUGCGGAAGAGUGAGAGACACCAAUUACUGCUGCAGGAUUAAAUGUUGCAGCGUUAUCACGACAAGAUGGUAAAUCCUCAAGACCAGAUGGCUAUCCUCCCAAAUUUUUUUUUUUUUUUGGGCAUAAGCUUUCCCCCCUAUUUUUGGACAUGUACAGUGAAUCGUUUGAAUCUGGCAGGCUUCCGCAAACGCUCAACAAAGCUUCAGGUUUUUCUUUGGUUUUUUCAUUGUUCUCUUUUUUUUGUUUUUUACUUGUUGUUCCCCUUUUUUGAUGGGCCAGGUUGGAUAUUGGCAGUUUUAGAGUGCAUUUUUAAUGUGCUUCUCUUAUUUUCGUCCGUCUUCUUUUUCUGUUAUGAUGUUGGCCCGUUCAUAAAGUGUCCUCACGACUGACAGUUUGUGUGCUUUGGGACGUUCGGAGGUCCAGAGUAGAUAUUGGUCGGUAUGCGUCGGUUUUGUUUUGACUGCCGUCAUUUUUGCAGUGGAUAUUCAUGUCCAAAAAAGUUGUGGUCCUGUUUAUUUCCUCUUCAUGUGUAAAUGUAAUGUUUCCAGUCUUGUCAAUACUGUUGAGGUGGUCUGCAAGAUCCUGUGUGUGUCCCAUUUUUAUUUUCUCCAGAAUGUCAUCCACGUAUCUUAUCCAGAAGUUGGGUCUGCAGUGUAUGGGUGCUGUGUUGGUGGCGGUGUUUCCAGGUUUUCCAUGAAUAAACUGCUCAUUAUUGCUGAUAAGGGGUCUCCUAUUGCGAAGCCCUCUUUUGCUUGUAUAUUAUUCCUUUGUAUUGAAAGCAUGUGGAUUUUGCAACAAAAUUGAGAUAUAUAAGUACGUCUUCAGGUGUGAGGUUUGUUCUUGCUUUUGGAGUCCUGUCUUUUGUGAUGCGUUUAUUGAUAAUGUGCAGGGUGGCAUCCACUGGGGUUUUGGUGAACAAUGAAAUGACGUCAUGUGAAAUAAACAUUUAAUCUGGUUCAAUUUGA
Molecule: long non-coding RNA, 1494 nt
Organism: Entelurus aequoreus (snake pipefish)
Lineage: Eukaryota; Metazoa; Chordata; Actinopteri; Syngnathiformes; Syngnathidae
Exons: 5
Source: RefSeq, a predicted model, not a curated record